GACGAACGCUGGCGGCGUGCUUAACACAUGCAAGUCGAACGGAAAGGCCCUGCUUUUGUGGGGUGCUCGAGUGGCGAACGGGUGAGUAACACGUGAGUAACCUGCCCUUGACUUUGGGAUAACUUCAGGAAACUGGGGCUAAUACCGGAUAGGAGCUCCUGCUGCAUGGUGGGGGUUGGAAAGUUUCGGCGGUUGGGGAUGGACUCGCGGCUUAUCAGCUUGUUGGUGGGGUAGUGGCUUACCAAGGCUUUGACGGGUAGCCGGCCUGAGAGGGUGACCGGCCACAUUGGGACUGAGAUACGGCCCAGACUCCUACGGGAGGCAGCAGUGGGGAAUAUUGCACAAGGGGCGGAAGCCUGAUGCAGCAACGCCGCGUGCGGGAGGACGGCCUUCGGGUUGUAAACCGCUUUCGCCUGUGACGAAGCGUGAGUGACGGUAAUGGGUAAAGAAGCACCGGCUAACUACGU
RNAcentral lists this ribosomal RNA (467 nucleotides) under uncultured bacterium. RNAcentral describes it as "partial 16S ribosomal RNA". It matches the Rfam family "Bacterial small subunit ribosomal RNA", at positions 28 to 506 of the family's 1533-position model. The record is from RNAcentral.